RNAcentral lists this small nucleolar RNA (213 nucleotides) under Huiozyma naganishii CBS 8797. The record is from RNAcentral. Lineage: Eukaryota; Fungi; Ascomycota; Saccharomycetes; Saccharomycetales; Saccharomycetaceae.
UUGGCCUCUUCGAAGACUCUUUAUCCCUGAAUUUCGUGGAUAUAGCGUUCAAAGCGAGGCCUAUAAUAAAUGUGCAUCUCAAUCUUUAUCAAAAUAUAAACAACAGAUUGUUAUCUCAUAGAGUCUUUUGAGCGUUCUUACGAAUGCUGGAAAUAUAUACAAUGGGAAUAGAUUAUAACGAUUCUAUUUUCUUAUUGGCUCAAUGGUACAUCU